RNAcentral lists this ribosomal RNA (497 nucleotides) under uncultured bacterium. Its description in RNAcentral is "partial 16S ribosomal RNA". It matches the Rfam family "Bacterial small subunit ribosomal RNA", at positions 28 to 507 of the family's 1533-position model. The record is from RNAcentral.
GAUGAACGCUGGCGGCGUGCCUAAUACAUGCAAGUCGAGCGAACGGACGAGAAGCUUGCUUCUCUGAUGUUAGCGGCGGACGGGUGAGUAACACGUGGAUAACCUACCUAUAGGACUGGGAUAACUUCGGAAAACCGGAGCUAAUACCGGAUAAUAUUUUGAACCGCAUGGUUCAAAAGUGAAAGACGGUCUUGCUGUCACUUAUAGAUGGAUCCGCGCUGCAUUAGCUAGUUGGUAAGGUAACGGCUUACCAAGGCAACGAUGCAUAGCCGACCUGAGAGGGUGAUCGGCCACACUGGAACUGAGACACGGUCCAGACUCCUACGGGAGGCAGCAGUAGGGAAUCUUCCGCAAUGGGCGAAAGCCUGACGGAGCAACGCCGCGUGAGUGAUGAAGGUCUUCGGAUCGUAAAACUCUGUUAUUAGGGAAGAACAUAUGUGUAAGUAACUGUGCACAUCUUGACGGUACCUAAUCAGAAAGCCACGGCUAACUACGUG